This 933-nucleotide ribosomal RNA is filed under the name uncultured bacterium. RNAcentral describes it as "bacterial SSU rRNA". It matches the Rfam family "Bacterial small subunit ribosomal RNA", at positions 9 to 873 of the family's 1533-position model. The record is from RNAcentral.
AGAGUUUGAUCCUGGCUCAAAUUGAACGCUGGCGGCAGGCCUAACACAUGCAAGUCGAGCGGUAGAGAGAAGCUUGCUUCUCUUGAGAGCGGCGGACGGGUGAGUAAUGCCUAGGAAUCUGCCUGGUAGUGGGGGAUAACGUUCGGAAACGGACGCUAAUACCGCAUACGUCCUACGGGAGAAAGCAGGGGACCUUCGGGCCUUGCGCUAUCAGAUGAGCCUAGGUCGGAUUAGCUAGUUGGUGGGGUAAUGGCUCACCAAGGCGACGAUCCGUAACUGGUCUGAGAGGAUGAUCAGUCACACUGGAACUGAGACACGGUCCACACUCCUACGGGAGGCAGCAGUGGGGAAUAUUGGACAAUGGGCGAAAGCCUGAUCCAGCCAUGCCGCGUGUGUGAAGAAGGUCUUCGGAUUGUAAAGCACUUUAAGUUGGGAGGAAGGGCAGUAAAUUAAUACUUUGCUGUUUUGACGUUACCGACAGAAUAAGCACCGGCUAACUCUGUGCCAGCAGCCGCGGUAAUACAGAGGGUGCAAGCGUUAAUCGGAAUUACUGGGCGUAAAGCGCGCGUAGGUGGUUAGUUAAGGUGGGAUGUGAAAUCCCCCGGGCUCAACCUGGGAACUGCAUUCAAACUGACUGACUAGAGUAUGGUAGAGGGGGGGGGUUAUAUUCGCGGUGUGUAGCGGGUGAAUGGCUAAAAUAAAGGAAGGAACCCCGGGGGGCGAAGGGCGGCUUUUCUGGAACCUAACUUUGACGCUGAGCCCGAAGCGUGGGGAGCAAACAUGAUUAGAUCCCUGUAGUCCCACGCAGUAAACGAUGAAUGCUAGACGUGUGGGGAGCUUAACUUCUCAUGCGCAGCUAACGCAUAGCAUCGCUGAGAGAUACGGCGUAAGUUAACUCAAGUAUGACGGUCGCAUGCGUGAAGCAGCAUCAAC